Molecule: RNA transcript, 3594 nt
Organism: Juglans regia (Persian walnut)
Lineage: Eukaryota; Viridiplantae; Streptophyta; Magnoliopsida; Fagales; Juglandaceae
Gene name: endonuclease MutS2
Exons: 21
Source: RefSeq, a predicted model, not a curated record
UUGUGCUUUCUAUCCAGGUCUCUCUUCCACGUACCAACGGUUUCUGUAGCUAAAGCCCAAAGAGAGACGGGAAUGGAUUACUGCGCAUUGUUUGUAAAUCCCAACGCCACCUCAGUCUCUGUUUUUCCGAUUACUAUUAUCAAAUCCGUUAGAUUCAAGUACCCAUGUUUCCUCAGACAAGCCCCCGUCUCCGCAAACCUUUCUAUUACCUACGACGACGAAGCUACCAACAAGAAAUCCUCGGUUCACCACGACAGUCUCAGAGUUCUCGAAUGGGGCAGUCUCUGCGACGCCGUCGCAUCCUUUGCCGGCACUUCCUUGGGCCGCGAAGCUACCAAAGCCCAGCUGUGCUCUCUGAACCAGACGUACGAGGAAAGCCUGAGGCUUCUGGAGGAGACUAAUGCGGCCGUUGAAAUGCACAAGCACGGUGGUUGCAGGUUGGACUUCGGUGGCAUCGACGCAGUUCUCGUGAAAUCUGCUAUCCUACAAGCACGGAGAAGUUUACCGGUGGAUGGGAAUAAGGCGAUGGCGGUUGCAGCUCUACUACAGCUUGCUGAUACUCUGCAGUUUAAUCUAAAAGCUGCAAUCAAGGAAGAUGAAGAUUGGUACAGACGCUUCAUGCCUCUCACAGAAGAUAUAAUGGGAUUGGUUAUAAAUCGAUCAUUAGUGAAAUUCAUAUUGCAAGUAAUUGAUGAAGAUGGCUCGGUUAAAGACUCCGCGAGUUCAAUGCUGAAACAUGCACGCGAUCGAGUGAGGAUGCUUGAGAGAAAGAUAUAUCAUUUAAUGGAGAGCCUAAUUAGGAAUGAAAAGAGUGAAGCAUCGUUUCUGGAAGUGAGUAACAUUGACGGCCGGUGGUGUAUAAAAUCAGUGGCUGAUCGACUGACAAGUUUUAAGGGUCUACUGUUAUCCAGUGGUUCAGUCACAGGAAGCAUUGUAGAGCCACUCUCUGCCGUUCCUUUGAAUGAUGAACUGCAGCAAGCAAGGGCAUCAGCAGCAAAGGCUGAGGCAGAUGUACUCUCAAUGCUAUCAGAAAAGAUGCAAAUGGAUCUUGAUGAAAUUGAACAGUUAUUGGACAUUAUAAUUCGGCUGGAUGUGGUCAAUGCUCGAGCAACCUAUAGUCUUUCAUUUGGAGGCACGUGUCCUGAUUUAUUUCUCCCAGAAGGCAACGGCACUUCUGGUUCUGUUGCAUCCAUAUCAGGGACCAAAUCUUCAAAGGCAGCUUACCCGAUUAAGAGGGAGUGGACAUUGUAUCUGCCAAAAGCUUAUAACCCUUUGUUGCUUCAGCAGCACCGGCAAAUUUUGCAGAAGGCCAGGAAGGAUGUCAGUAAUGCUACUAAUGAAAUCAGGAGGCAAAAGCAAGGUGAGAUUAUGUCACGAAAGGGAGAUGCAGAUAUAGAUCUUUUAUCCUUAGAAAUGCAGGUUACUGCUCUAGAACAAGCUCAACCAGUUCCAGUUGACUUUUUUAUAGAUCAUAAAACUCGGGUCUUGGUCAUAACUGGCCCCAAUACCGGAGGCAAAACCAUUUGCUUAAAGACUGUUGGAUUGGCGGCUAUGAUGGCUAAAUCAGGUCUUCACGUUUUAGCUUCUGAAUCUGUAAAAAUCCCUUGGUUUGAUGCUGUUUUUGCUGACAUUGGGGAUGAACAGUCCCUGUCCCAGUCUUUGUCUACCUUCUCUGGCCACUUGAAGCGAAUAAGUGACAUUCAAUCGCACUCAACAAGUCGGUCAUUGGUGCUACUAGAUGAAGUUGGUGCGGGAACCAAUCCUCUUGAAGGUGCAGCAUUGGGGAUGUCAUUACUGGAGUCUUUUGCUGAAACUGGUGCUUUGUUGACAAUAGCUACGACACAUCAUGGCGAACUCAAAACCCUGAAAUACAGUAAUGACGCCUUCGAAAACGCAUGCAUGGAGUUCGAUGAAGUCAACUUGAAACCAACAUUCAAGAUUCUCUGGGGUGUACCAGGACGUUCAAAUGCAAUCAAUAUUGCUGAAAGGUUAGGACUCCCCAGUGCAAUUGUAGACAAUGCUCGUGAACUAUAUGGUGCAGCUAGUGCCGAGAUAGAUGAGGUCAUAACUGAUAUGGAAAGGUUCAAGCAAGAUUUCAAGGAGCAAUUAGAGGAAGCGCAACAUCAUGUGCUGCUCUCAAAGGAUCUUUAUGAAAAUCUGUUGGUCGCAAGAAGGAAGAUAAUGGAACAUAGCACUGAUCUAAGAUUAAGGAAGAUGCGUGAAAUAUCCGAGGCUGCAGCAGUGGCACGUUCUAUUCUUCACAGGAAAGUGCGACAGCAUCGUGCAUCUGUAAUUCAAUCUUCACAGCCAAAUCCAGCUGAUAAAAGCCGGCAUUCAUUGGGAAUUAAUGGCCAGUAUAACACAGCAGAAUACAGUGAACCUCCUAUUGCAUCUAAGUGUGCAUCUUUUGUUGAAGAUAUUAAGAAAUCACCAUCAGAGAAGUCUCAGCUUCCUAAGAUUGGUGAUAUAGUGUAUGUUUCUUCUCUUGGGAGGAGGGUGACAGUUUUAAGAGUGGAGCCAUCUAAAAAUGAAAUAGUUGUGCAAAGUGGUAACAUGAAGCUGAAGUUAAAGCUCAAUGAUGUUCAGACAUGACUAACAAGGUUUGUGAAUAGCCUUCUGAAUAUGUAAGCUUUUUUCUUCUAGUGCAAAGCAUUUAUAUGGCCUUUUGUGUCCAUUCCCUGUCCAAAUGAGCAAAACCACAUUGCCAGGUCUAGUAUUGGUUCUGUUUCACCAUAAAUUAGUCAGCAACUCAGAAGUGGUUAACAGAAUCUAUCAGCAAGGAAAGGGUGACCCUCACCAUGGAUUUUGGAAUUCAUGUAUCUCAUAUUUUCAGCCAUGCUCCAAAGAUAUUAUGGAUCUAUAAGUUUGAAUUUCUGCUACCCUUUCUGAAUUGGAUCUUUCUCCCAUUGUCGGAUCUCAGCAACUUGGUCAUGUUGAUGUAUAUUCUUUCUACCACUCAUAUGUAUGUAUGUAUGUAUGUAUGUAUGUAUGUAUGUAUAUGUAUAUAUGUUGCACAUGGAGGUAUCGUCUGACUUGUAUGUCAAGCCUUAUGGGAAGGCAGAUCGUGUUGGAUACCCUUUUUAUCUGGUGUACUCAAGGAGCGGGACCAUUGGAAGAACUUUUAGAUAGAUGGCCAGAAACUUUCUGAAAUGAAAUUUGAAUUUCUAAAACCAGAUGUUUUAAUACUUCAACGAGGCAAUUCAUAGUGCAAAGAUAUCCUUGGCAAUGCAAACCCAUAUGCUAGUGGAGGCUCCACAAGAUCAGGAAAAAAAAAAAAAACUGUGACAUCUCGGAGAUCUAAAGAAAAGGUACAGUUGGUUUUGUUACCGUCGCUGCAUUUUUGGUAAGGCGCGCAUGCGAUUUGCUGGAAAGAUUUAUCAAAGAAAAGGAGGGAAGGAAGAAUUAUAAUUCUCGUUGGGGAUGACUGAGAUCCCUAUUCAUGCAUAUUUGGGAUGGUACUUGUAUAUAUACAAGCUAGACGCACCAGCAUUAAGUUGUUUGCAUUUGUAUAAGUUAGCUUUUUGUAUCAUGUGAGUAGGAAACAGUUUCUUUCCAUCUUUUUCUCAAAGGAAACAAUAUAACUACAGUUUUUUA